UACGGAAAUUUCCGUACGUUUUUCUUGAUCAAUCAAUUCCUUUAGCAAAGGAAAUCAGGGAUGAUUUCAUUAGGCUUGGUUCUGCACAUGGAUGUGCUGUCCAAGCCGGUGCGUUAAAAAGGGAUUUAUUUAUCAAGAUAAAAAAACGUCUCGGACGGCACUCUU
Non-coding RNA from Psychromonas ingrahamii 37, 165 nucleotides. The record is from Rfam. Lineage: Bacteria; Pseudomonadati; Pseudomonadota; Gammaproteobacteria; Alteromonadales; Psychromonadaceae.